RNAcentral lists this ribosomal RNA (468 nucleotides) under uncultured bacterium. Its description in RNAcentral is "partial 16S ribosomal RNA". It matches the Rfam family "Bacterial small subunit ribosomal RNA", at positions 28 to 507 of the family's 1533-position model. The record is from RNAcentral.
GACGAACGCUGGCGGCGUGCUUAACACAUGCAAGUCGAACGGAAAGGCCCUGCUUUUGUGGGGUGCUCGAGUGGCGAACGGGUGAGUAGCACGUGAGUAACCUGCCCUUGACCUUGGGAUAACUUCAGGAAACUGGGGCUAAUACCGGAUAGGAGCUCCUGCUGCAUGGUGGGGGUUGGAAAGUUUCGGCGGUUGGGGAUGGACUCGCGGCUUAUCAGCUUGUUGGUGGGGUAGUGGCUUACCAAGGCUUUGACGGGUAGCCGGCCUGAGAGGGUGACCGGCCACAUUGGGACUGAGAUACGGCCCAGACUCCUACGGGAGGCAGCAGUGGGGAAUAUUGCACAAUGGGCGGAAGCCUGAUGCAGCAACGCCGCGUGCGGGAUGACGGCCUUCGGGUUGUAAACCGCUUUCGCCUGUGACGAAGCGUGAGUGACGGUAAUGGGUAAAGAAGCACCGGCUAACUACGUG